RNAcentral lists this ribosomal RNA (309 nucleotides) under uncultured bacterium. Its description in RNAcentral is "partial 16S ribosomal RNA". It matches the Rfam family "Bacterial small subunit ribosomal RNA", at positions 504 to 807 of the family's 1533-position model. The record is from RNAcentral.
AGAGACAGCAGCCGCCGCGGGAAUACGGAGGGUGCAAGCGUUAAUCGGAAUUACUGGGCGUAAAGCGCACGCAGGCGGUUUGUUAAGUCAGAUGUGAAAUCCCCGAGCUUAACUUGGGAACUGCGUUUGAAACUGGCAAGCUAGAGUCUUGUAGAGGGGGGUAGAAUUCCAGGUGUAGCGGUGAAAUGCGUAGAGAUCGGGAGGAACAUCAGUGGCGAAGGCGGCCAUCUGGGACAACACUGACGCUGAGGCACGAAAGCGUGGGGAGCAAACAGGAUUAGAUACCCGCGUAGUCCCUGUCUCUUAUAC